RNAcentral lists this ribosomal RNA (1324 nucleotides) under uncultured bacterium. RNAcentral describes it as "bacterial SSU rRNA". It matches the Rfam family "Bacterial small subunit ribosomal RNA", at positions 29 to 1393 of the family's 1533-position model. The record is from RNAcentral.
ACGAACGCUGGCGGCGUGCUUAACACAUGCAAGUCGAGCGGAAAGGCCCUUCGGGGUACUCGAGCGGCGAACGGGUGAGUAACACGUGAGUAACCUACCUCGAACUCUGGGAUAAGCCUGGGAAACUGGGUCUAAUACCGGAUGUUCAUCUCCUGCUGCAUGGUGGGGGAUGGAAAGUGUUUAGCGGUUCGGGAUGGGCUCGCGGCCUAUCAGCUUGUUGGUGAGGUAAUGGCUUACCAAGGCUUUUACGGGUAGCCGGCCUGAGAGGGCGACCGGCCACACUGGGACUGAGAUACGGCCCAGACUCCUACGGGAGGCAGCAGUGGGGAAUAUUGCGCAAUGGGCGGAAGCCUGACGCAGCAACGCCGUGUGAGGGAUGACGGCCUUCGGGUUGUAAACCUCUUUCACCAGGGACGAAGCUUUUGUGACGGUACCUGGGGAAGAAGCGCCGGCCAACUACGUGCCAGCAGCCGCGGUAACACGUAGGGCGCGAGCGUUGUCCGGAAUUAUUGGGCGUAAAGGGCUCGUAGGCGGUUUGUCGCGUCGAAAGUGAAAAUCCGGGGCUCAACUCCGGACUUGCUUUCGAUACGGGCAGGCUAGAGGUAGGCAGGGGAGAAUGGAAUUCCUGGUGUAGCGGUGGAAUGCGCAGAUAUCAGGAGGAACACCGGUGGCGAAGGCGGUUCUCUGGGCCUUACCUGACGCUGAGGAGCGAAAGCGUGGGGAGCGAACAGGAUUAGAUACCCUGGUAGUCCACGCUGUAAACGUUGGGCGCUAGGUGUGGGAGUCUUUUGUGACGUCCGUGCCGUAGCUAACGCAUUAAGCGCCCCGCCUGGGGAGUACGGUCGCAAGACUAAAACUCAAAGGAAUUGACGGGGGCCCGCACAAGCGGCGGAGCAUGUUGCUUAAUUCGAGGCAACGCGAAGAACCUUACCUGGGUUUGACAUGUGGGUUAAUCCGGCAGAGAUGUCGGGUCCUUUUGGGAACUCAUGCAGGUGGUGCAUGGCUGUCGUCAGCUCGUGUCGUGAGAUGUUCGGUUAAGUCCGGCAACGAGCGCAACCCACGUCCCCGGUUGCCAGCAUUCAGUUGGGCACUCUGUGGAAACUGCCGAUGAUAAGUCGGAGGAAGGUGUGGAUGACGUCAAGUCCUCAUGGCCCUUACGGGUUGGGCUACACACGUGCUACAAUGGUGGUGACAGUGGGAUAAUCCCCAAAAGCCAUCUCAGUUCGGAUUGUCCUCUGCAACUCGAGGGCAUGAAGUUGGAAUCGCUAGUAAUCGCGGAACAGCAUGCCGCGGUGAAUACGUUCCCGGGCCUUGCACACACCGC